RNAcentral lists this long non-coding RNA (285 nucleotides) under Mytilus galloprovincialis (Mediterranean mussel). Lineage: Eukaryota; Metazoa; Mollusca; Bivalvia; Mytilida; Mytilidae. The record is from RNAcentral.
GGUCACCAACAGGUCUUCAAUGUAGCGAGAAAUUACCGCACCCGGAGGCGUCCUUCAACUGGCCCCUAAACAAAUGUAUACUAGUUCAGUGAUAAUGAACGCCAUACUAAUUUCCAAAUUGUACACAAGAAACUAAAAUUAAAAUAAUACAAGACUAACAAAGGCCAGAGGCUCCUGACUUGGGACAGGCGCAAAAAUGCGGCGGGGUUAAACAUGUUUGUGAGAUCUCAACCCUCCCCCUAUACCUCUAGCCAAUGUAGAAAAGUAAACGCAUAACAAUACGCG